AACCCGUGAUGAGGGCAAUCUCUCAAAUACUCCUUGAAUCGCACCCAUGCUUUGCAGAAUGAUUCCUUCUCUUCUUGUGAGAAGGUGACGAUUUGAUUCCUUAUCUU
This 107-nucleotide small nucleolar RNA is filed under the name Arabidopsis lyrata subsp. lyrata. Its description in RNAcentral is "Plant small nucleolar RNA R71". It matches the Rfam family "Plant small nucleolar RNA R71". Rfam says of the family: R71 is a member of the C/D box family of snoRNAs containing the C (UGAUGA) and D (CUGA) box motifs. Multiple nearly identical copies of this snoRNA have been identified in Arabidopsis, and it is thought to function as a 2'-O-ribose methylation guide for 18S ribosomal RNA. Lineage: Eukaryota; Viridiplantae; Streptophyta; Magnoliopsida; Brassicales; Brassicaceae. The record is from Rfam by way of RNAcentral.